This 326-nucleotide long non-coding RNA is filed under the name Elaeis guineensis (African oil palm). Its description in RNAcentral is "long non-coding RNA (EGUI_LNC026089)". Lineage: Eukaryota; Viridiplantae; Streptophyta; Magnoliopsida; Arecales; Arecaceae. The record is from RNAcentral.
GCUGGCGGAACGGGCCUUAGCUUCCAUGCAAGUGAUCCGAAUUCGAGUCACGGUAGAUGCCGGAGCAUUGAUUAAAUGGCAGAACGCGAAUGACCAGGAGGGAGCUGAUCCUGACGGCUUGGGCGUGGGUAUUAAAAGCGGUUUCUGAUCCGUCCAAUCUCGGUAGGACUGGGGUGAUGUACUCAUCCAUUGGGUUCAUCCAUAUGGUGGCGAGGAGGGAUCUUUUCCAAAUUAUCCUCCGAAUCGAACAUUCUCCAGUAAGGUUGGAGGCCUUACGGUCACACCUAGAGGAGAUAAUCAUGCCGGGACGCCCCUCUCCCAACCCC